This 104-nucleotide transfer RNA is filed under the name Methanobacteriota archaeon. RNAcentral describes it as "Euryarchaeota archaeon (anaerobic digester metagenome) tRNA-Lys". It matches the Rfam family "tRNA". From Rfam's summary of the family: Transfer RNA (tRNA) molecules are approximately 80 nucleotides in length. Their secondary structure includes four short double-helical elements and three loops (D, anti-codon, and T loops). Lineage: Archaea; Methanobacteriati; Methanobacteriota. The record is from RNAcentral.
GGGCCCGUAGCUCAGCUAGGUAGAGCAUCUGGCUUUUAACCAGGUGGUCCGGGGUUCGAAUGGUACGCGGUAGUUCCGUGUAUGCGGAAAUCCCCGCGGGCCCG